Molecule: ribosomal RNA, 424 nt
Filed under: uncultured prokaryote
Description: bacterial SSU rRNA
Rfam family: Bacterial small subunit ribosomal RNA
Source: RNAcentral
UGGGGAAUCUUGGACAAUGGGCGCAAGCCUGAUCCAGCGACGCCGCGUGGACGAUGAAGGCCUUCGGGUUGUAAAGUCCUUUUGCCGGGGACGAUGAUGACGGUACCCGGCGAAUAAGCACCGGCUAACUCCGUGCCAGCAGCCGCGGUAAGACGGAGGGUGCUAGCGUUGUUCGGAAUUACUGGGCGUAAAGGGCGCGUAGGCGGCCGAUCAAGUCGGGUGUGAAAGCCCGGGGCUCAACCCCGGAACGGCACUCGAAACUGAUUGGCUGGAGACCGGGAGAGGAGGGUGGAAUACCCAGUGUAGAGGUGAAAUUCGUAGAUAUUGGGUGGAACACCGGUGGCGAAAGCGGCUCUCUGGCCCGGAUCUGACGCUGAGGCGCGAAAGCGUGGGGAGCAAACAGGAUUAGAUACCCCCGUAGUCC